This 468-nucleotide ribosomal RNA is filed under the name uncultured bacterium. Its description in RNAcentral is "partial 16S ribosomal RNA". It matches the Rfam family "Bacterial small subunit ribosomal RNA", at positions 28 to 507 of the family's 1533-position model. The record is from RNAcentral.
GACGAACGCUGGCGGCGUGCUUAACACAUGCAAGUCGAACGGAAAGGCCCUGCUUUUGUGGGGUGCUCGAGUGGCGAACGGGUGAGUAACACGUGAGUAACCUGCCCUUGACUUUGGGAUAACUUCAGGAAACUGGGGCUAAUACCGGAUAGGAGCUCCUGCUGCAUGGUGGGGGUUGGAAAGUUUCGGCGGUUGGGGAUGGACUCGCGGCUUAUCAGCUUGUUGGUGGGGUAGUGGCUUACCAAGCCUUUGGCGGGUAGCCGGCCUGGGAGGGUGACCGGCGACAUGGGGACUGCGAUACGGCCCAGUCUCCUACGGGGGGCAGCAGUGGGGAAUAUUGCACAAUGGGCGGGCGCCUGAUGCAGCAACGCCGCGUGCGGGAUGACGGCCUUCGGGUUAGAAACCGCUUUCGCCUGUGACGAAGCGUGAGUGACGGUAAUGGGUAAAGAAGCACCGGCUAACUACGUG